This 403-nucleotide unclassified non-coding RNA is filed under the name Sporobolus maritimus. RNAcentral's name for it is "partial external transcribed spacer". The record is from RNAcentral. Lineage: Eukaryota; Viridiplantae; Streptophyta; Magnoliopsida; Poales; Poaceae.
AGGUAUAUUAGGGGGAGGGGGUUGCUCCGAGAGGACCCUCCACGGUGGGAUGGGAUAAUCAAGGUAUGGAUGUUCUGAGCCCUAGACACGGGUCCCCCUCGUGUCACAGCCUCGGUUAGGACCUUGUACGUUAUGUCCAAACGUCAGGGUAGCAGAGGCAACCGGACCUGGGUUACAGUUGGGUAAGAAAAGGUACCAGAUUUGUGGGACGAAUAAUGCAAACGGACUAAACCUGGCCUCGGGUUUGAGCGAGGCUGGGUGGACCGGUAAGGGAAACCUCAAACACUAGUGGGCUGUCCGAUAACGGGAAAGGUCUGUGAGCAGAAUUCGAUCUCAUAUUUCUGGUACCCUCCAGGUUGUGGUCGGGCUAAGAGAAGGUGGCAGAUUUGGAUGCUAUUGACAC